This 73-nucleotide transfer RNA is filed under the name Paramuricea clavata. It matches the Rfam family "tRNA". From Rfam's summary of the family: Transfer RNA (tRNA) molecules are approximately 80 nucleotides in length. The record is from Rfam by way of RNAcentral. Lineage: Eukaryota; Metazoa; Cnidaria; Anthozoa; Malacalcyonacea; Plexauridae.
GACCGCGUAGCUCAGUUGGAAGAGCAUUGGGCUAGUAUUCCAAAGGUCGUAGGUUCGAAUCCCUCCGUGGCCA